This 305-nucleotide unclassified non-coding RNA is filed under the name plant metagenome. RNAcentral describes it as "partial contains 5.8S ribosomal RNA, internal transcribed spacer 2, and large subunit ribosomal RNA". The stretch from base 1 to 106 matches the Rfam family "5.8S ribosomal RNA", at positions 49 to 154 of the family's 154-position model. The record is from RNAcentral.
CGAAAUGCGAUAAGUAGUGUGAAUUGCAGAAUUCAGUGAAUCAUCGAAUCUUUGAACGCGCAUUGCGCCCUUUGGUAUUCCUUAGGGCAUGCCUGUUCGAGCGUCAUUUAAACCUCCAAGCCCUGCUUGGUGUUGGGUGCCUGUCCCGCCCCCGCGCGUGGACUCACCUCAAAUCCAUUGGCGGCCCCCGCAUGGCCACGAGCGCAGCAGAAACGCAAACUCGUGUGCCGGACCGGGCGGCUCCCAGAAGCUACACUCACCAUUUUUGACCUCGGAUCAGGUAGGGAUACCCGCUGAACUUAAGC